GUGGUUGUGGCUCAGGGGUAGAGCGCUCGCCUAGCAUGUGUGAAGCACUGGGUUCGAUCCUCAGCACCACA
RNAcentral lists this transfer RNA (71 nucleotides) under Marmota monax (woodchuck). It matches the Rfam family "tRNA". Rfam says of the family: Transfer RNA (tRNA) molecules are approximately 80 nucleotides in length. Their secondary structure includes four short double-helical elements and three loops (D, anti-codon, and T loops). Lineage: Eukaryota; Metazoa; Chordata; Mammalia; Rodentia; Sciuridae. The record is from Rfam by way of RNAcentral.